Molecule: ribosomal RNA, 987 nt
Filed under: Triticum aestivum (bread wheat)
Lineage: Eukaryota; Viridiplantae; Streptophyta; Magnoliopsida; Poales; Poaceae
Description: partial small subunit ribosomal RNA
Source: RNAcentral
AUGUGUUGCAGCCUUGCAGGUCGCUGUCGUGGACAGUUGGCUGCUGGAGGUCGUGUUCAGGGAAGAGAACGAGCAGAAGAAGAUUGGGAAAGAGAGGGAGGAGGGGAAGACAAUGAGACCAUGAUCGAUCGCAGAGAUUGUGCGGCACGUCCGGUGUGGCGCGAACCCGCGUCUACGAGUGAUCGUCGUCAAGAAGCAAGGAAAAUGUGGCGUGCCUGUGGCCUUGAGGAACUCCGGCUGAUGCUCCUUACAUGUCCUACUCCGCGUCAGCUGCUAGAAGCCUUGUUCUCUCUGCCUGAAGAUGAAAAGUUAAAGUGUAUUCUUCUACUAUGGCUGUGGUGGACUGAGCGGAAUAAAGCUAAUCAUAAACAGACCCGGGCGUCAGUAGAAGAAUUUCAAUUUCUAAUGACCAGGCAUGUAGCCGAAUGGCGCCAGUUCUGUAUGAAGCCGGAAAGCAAACAACAGCAGGUGUUCAGAAAACCAGUGUGGAAAGGGACAGAGGUGGAUACAGUGAAGAUUAAUAUUGAUGGAGCCUUUGACGGUUCCAAUCAGCUUGCAGGCUGGGGCUGCAUUGCGCGUGACCAUACAGGAGAUGUCAUUUUUGCCGCUGCGGUAAAACUUGACUAUAUGAGUGAGGCUUUGCAUGCUGAGGCGUACGCCCUUAUCAGGGGUAUCCAGCUGGCUGGAAACUAUGGGAUGGGUAAGGUUGUUUUUGAGACUGACUGCCUGGGUCUGGUCCGAGCUAUGAAAUCAAAAAUGUUCGAUCGGUCGCCUCUUGGUGUUGUUUUCCGGGAGACAAGGUUUCUUCUUCAGUUGGGUAUUAGUGAAUGGAGUAUUAUCCACUGUCCCCGCACUUGUAAUGUUCCAGCUCAUGAGCUGGCAGCUAUAGGGAGAAGUGGUGCUUAUGGUGACCAGCAUGUAUGGUUGGCUCACCUCCCAUCCGUUGUAAACGUUGCUGUGGCCGCUGAUGUAGUCGGCCAGCCUUAA